Long non-coding RNA from Daucus carota subsp. sativus, 934 nucleotides. RefSeq lists it as uncharacterized. The transcript has 2 exons. The record is from RefSeq and is a predicted model, not a curated record. Lineage: Eukaryota; Viridiplantae; Streptophyta; Magnoliopsida; Apiales; Apiaceae.
GUUAAGUAUUGAGCAUACCUAGGCAAACUAAUGGUGAUUAGGUAAAAUGCCAAGGGCUACUGCCAAGCAAAGACAUAGUACUACAAGUAGGGUAACAAAUUCGAAAGAGCUACCAGUAGUAAGCAGGAGUGUGUGUAUUUUGGUCCAAAAAGUCUUCACUUUUCUGUUGUUUACAUUUCUGGUCUUCCUCCUCUUGGACUAGUUGUUUUCAUCUCUAGCUCUCUCUCUUCUUCUCUCCUCUCUAAUUGAACUCACUCACUGACUCCUUCAGUCCCCUUCUCCCUCCUUUUCAUUUCUCUCCUCCUCUUUAAACCCACACUUCACUUCAUUACCUGAUCAUCUCUUUUCAUGGCAAGCUGAAAAUUCUACUAUACAUGGAUUCCUCCUCUUUAUACAUAAUUUUACUCCUUCACUUACUCCUUUCUCCAUCAUUUUGCUUGGACAGCCAAGACUCAACAGAGGGAUUGACGUUUGAAGAGAAGACUAGACUGGGUUCAACUCCUCCGAGCUGUCACAACAAGUGCAACCAGUGUCACCCCUGCAUGGCAGCCCAGGUUCCCAGCUUAACGACUCAGAAUGGGCCAGUUCAGCCCAGGCCUCGUCGACAAGCUACUACCCAUCCUUUGGACUACUACGAUCCCACACCAUCACCGGUUGGUAACAAGUACUCUAAUUACAAGCCACUUGGCUGGAAAUGCAGAUGCAGAAAUCAUUUUUACAAUCCUUAGAUUUCAAUUUCUCAAAUAUUGUUAUUAGAUUGUUGGUAAAAUGUUUUUUUUUUCUUGAAUAUGUUCUCUGUUUUCGGUUACUGUAUAUGUAGGAGUAAAUAGGUAGGGUCCUCUGGGAAUCUAACUGUGACUUAUUAUAGGCUCAUUUAUUAAGUGUAGCAGUUGUUGGACUAGAAUUUAAUACAUGUGCAUACCUUUUCACGAAA